This 87-nucleotide transfer RNA is filed under the name candidate division BRC1 bacterium ADurb.Bin183. RNAcentral's name for it is "tRNA-Leu". It matches the Rfam family "tRNA". From Rfam's summary of the family: Transfer RNA (tRNA) molecules are approximately 80 nucleotides in length. Their secondary structure includes four short double-helical elements and three loops (D, anti-codon, and T loops). The record is from RNAcentral. Lineage: Bacteria; Candidatus Sumerlaeota.
UGCCGGAGUGGUGGAAUUGGCAGACACAAGGGACUUAAAAUCCCUCGGGGCAUAGCUUCGUACCGGUUCGAUUCCGGUCUCCGGCAU